Molecule: long non-coding RNA, 417 nt
Organism: Uranotaenia lowii
Lineage: Eukaryota; Metazoa; Arthropoda; Insecta; Diptera; Culicidae
Exons: 2
Source: RefSeq, a predicted model, not a curated record
GAAGAAAAAUUUUCCUCCUCCGAACCAGACGCUUUUUCUUCCAAAAUUUUGGAUUUCUUCCGAAUCUAUUUGGAAGUGCAGCAUAACGGACCAUAAAAUCAAGGUACGAACAAUGUCAGAUGAUGAAACAUUCAAGGCAACUCCAGCAUUUUCGAAGAGAAAUAGAAUGCUUCUAGCCGAACUACCAUCCCUUGCCGAUCCUUCCGAGCACCAUGCGGGUGCCGGAGGUUGUUCCGGAAACUCUGAACGGCAUUCCGUUAUGGAGCACAUCAUACAUUCCCGGCUCAAAUUUCUUCAGACAGGAACGGUGUGGUCAGUUAGUGCUGAACAGGUUCGGCUUUCACCAAGAAAGGCAAUAAAAUGCUCAUAAAAUGUAAGUUAAUUUGCAAUAAAAUGUAUAAUAUUUUGAAGUGAUAA